Molecule: ribosomal RNA, 250 nt
Filed under: uncultured prokaryote
Description: partial 16S ribosomal RNA
Rfam family: Bacterial small subunit ribosomal RNA
Source: RNAcentral
UACAUAGGUAGCAAGCGUUAUCCGGAAUAACUGGGCGUAAAGGGAGCGUAGGUGGCGAGGUAAGUCUUAUGUGAAAUCCCUUGGCUUACCAAGGAACUGCAUAAGAUACUGCUUUGCUAGAGUGCGAGAGAGGUAAGCGGAAUUCCUAGUGUAGCGGUAGAAUGCGUAGAGAUUAGGAAGGACACCAGAGGCGAAGGCGGCUUACUGGCUCGUAACUGACACUGAGGCUCGAAAGCGUGGGGAGCAAACA